UACGGGGGGGGCAAGCGUUGUUCGGAAUUACUGGGCGUAAAGGGCUCGUAGGCGGCCAACUAAGUCAGACGUGAAAUCCCUCGGCUUAACCGGGGAACUGCGUCUGAUACUGGAUGGCUUGAGUUUGGGAGAGGGAUGCGGAAUUCCAGGUGUAGCGGUGAAAUGCGUAGAUAUCUGGAGGAACACCCGUGGCGAAGGCGACUACCUGGCCUGUUCUUGACGCUGAGGCGCGAAAGCUAGGGGAGCAAACGGG
Molecule: ribosomal RNA, 253 nt
Filed under: uncultured bacterium
Lineage: Bacteria
Description: partial 16S ribosomal RNA
Rfam family: Bacterial small subunit ribosomal RNA
Source: RNAcentral